RNAcentral lists this long non-coding RNA (231 nucleotides) under Gossypium barbadense (sea-island cotton). Its description in RNAcentral is "long non-coding RNA (GBAR_LNC001692)". Lineage: Eukaryota; Viridiplantae; Streptophyta; Magnoliopsida; Malvales; Malvaceae. The record is from RNAcentral.
CGAGUUCUGUACUGUGAGAUAAUUAUUUUUUAGUGAAGAGAGGUCAGAACUGUCAGAAAGUGAAAUAGGGGAAAUUUUAAUGAAUAAACUGUACUAAUUGGAUAAACCAAAAAUUAUGAAAAUUUUAUGGUGGAACGAUAUGUGAGUCUAGUUUCAGGGGAAAUUUACGGAUCUUAAUUUGGAGCUCUGUAGCUCGAAUUAUAAAUAAUUAAGUGACUAUGACUUGUGUGG